RNAcentral lists this ribosomal RNA (253 nucleotides) under uncultured bacterium. Its description in RNAcentral is "partial 16S ribosomal RNA". It matches the Rfam family "Bacterial small subunit ribosomal RNA", at positions 57 to 305 of the family's 1533-position model. The record is from RNAcentral.
GCAAGUCGAACGGCAGCAGCAUCUAGCUUGCUAGGUGGCUGGCGAGUGGCGGACGGGUGAGUAACGCGUAGGAAUCUACCUAGUAGUGGGGGAUAGCCAAGGGAAACUUUGGGUAAUACCGCAUACGAUCUAAGGAUGAAAGGGGGCCUCUCUUUGAAGCUCUCGCUAUUAGAUGAGCCUGCGUAAGAUUAGCUUGUUGGUGGGGUAAUGGCCCACCAAGGCGACGAUCUUUAGCUGGUCUGAGAGGAUGAUC